GGCAGUGACAUUUCAUGCAAAGACCGUUACUUAAGAAGAGGUUUUGCAAAGUAUCACUGCUU
RNAcentral lists this microRNA precursor (62 nucleotides) under Eisenia fetida (common brandling worm). RNAcentral describes it as "Efe-Mir-2691-P3_pre stem-loop". The record is from RNAcentral. Lineage: Eukaryota; Metazoa; Annelida; Clitellata; Crassiclitellata; Lumbricidae.